RNAcentral lists this ribosomal RNA (218 nucleotides) under uncultured bacterium. RNAcentral describes it as "partial 16S ribosomal RNA". It matches the Rfam family "Bacterial small subunit ribosomal RNA", at positions 118 to 334 of the family's 1533-position model. The record is from RNAcentral.
UGGGCAACCUGCCCUGUACUGUGGAAUAAUCAUUGGAAACGAUGACUAAUACCGCAUGUGGUCCUCGGAAGGCAUCUUCUGAGGAAGAAAGGAUUUAUUCGGUACAGGAUGGGCCCGCAUCUGAUUAGCUAGUUGGUGAGAUAACAGCCCACCAAGGCGACGAUCAGUAGCCGACCUGAGAGGGUGAUCGGCCACAUUGGGACUGAGACACGGCCCGA